UACGUAGGGUGCAAGCGUUGUCCGGAAUUAUUGGGCGUAAAGAGCUCGUAGGCGGUUUGUUGCGUCGGCUGUGAAAUCCCGAGGCUCAACCUCGGGUCUGCAGUCGAUACGAGCAAACUAGAGUGUUGCAGGGGAGACUGGAAUUCCUGGUGUAGCGGUGAAAUGCGCAGAUAUCAGGAGGAACACCGGUGGCGAAGGCGGCUUUCUGGACAAAUACCGACGCUGAGGCACGAAGGCUAGGGGAGCAAACAGG
Molecule: ribosomal RNA, 253 nt
Filed under: uncultured bacterium
Lineage: Bacteria
Description: partial 16S ribosomal RNA
Rfam family: Bacterial small subunit ribosomal RNA
Source: RNAcentral